RNAcentral lists this ribosomal RNA (253 nucleotides) under uncultured bacterium. RNAcentral's name for it is "partial 16S ribosomal RNA". It matches the Rfam family "Bacterial small subunit ribosomal RNA", at positions 524 to 776 of the family's 1533-position model. The record is from RNAcentral.
UACGUAGGGAGCAAGCGUUGUCCGGAAUCAUUGGGCGUAAAGGGUGCGUAGGCGGCGCGGUAAGUCGGGUGUGAAAUCUCGGAGCUUAACUCCGAAACUGCAUUCGAUACUGCCGUGCUUGAGGACUGGAGAGGAGACUGGAAUUUACGGUGUAGCGGUGAAAUGCGUAGAUAUCGUAAGGAAGACCAGUGGCGAAGGCGGGUCUCUGGACAGUUCCUGACGCUGAGGCACGAAGGUCAGGGGAGCAAACGGG